GAUGAAGAACGCAGCGAAAUGCGAUAAGUAGUGUGAAUUGCAGAAUUCAGUGAAUCAUCGAAUCUUUGAACGCACAUUGCGCCCCUUGGUAUUCCAUGGGGCAUGCCUGUUCGAGCGUCAUUUGUACCUUCAAGCUCUGCUUGGUGUUGGGUGUUUGUCUAGCCUCUGCGCGUAGACUCGCCUCAAAACAAUUGGCAGCCGGCGUAUUGAUUUCGGAGCGCAGUACAUCUCGCGCUUUGCACUCAUAACGACGACGUCCAAAAGUACAUUUUUACACUCUUGACCUCGGAUCAGGUAGGGAUACCCGCUGAACUUAAGCAUAUCAAUAAGCGGAGGA
RNAcentral lists this unclassified non-coding RNA (337 nucleotides) under soil metagenome. RNAcentral's name for it is "partial contains 5.8S ribosomal RNA, internal transcribed spacer 2, and large subunit ribosomal RNA". The stretch from base 1 to 120 matches the Rfam family "5.8S ribosomal RNA", at positions 35 to 154 of the family's 154-position model. The record is from RNAcentral.